AUGCUCACUUCAGCAAUACAUAUAAUAAAAUUGGAACAAUAGAGAAGAUUAGCACGGCCCCUUGUGCAAGGAUGACAUGCAAAUCCAUGAAGCGUUCCAUAUUUGU
Molecule: small nuclear RNA, 106 nt
Organism: Macaca mulatta (Rhesus monkey)
Lineage: Eukaryota; Metazoa; Chordata; Mammalia; Primates; Cercopithecidae
Source: Ensembl